GCCUCCAUAGCUCAGUUGGCAGAGCUUCCGACUUUUAAUCGGAAUGUCGCAGGUUCGAUCCCUGCUGGGGGCA
Molecule: transfer RNA, 73 nt
Filed under: Mycolicibacterium mageritense
Lineage: Bacteria; Bacillati; Actinomycetota; Actinomycetes; Mycobacteriales; Mycobacteriaceae
Also listed under: 2 other names
Description: tRNA-Lys
Rfam family: tRNA
About the family: Transfer RNA (tRNA) molecules are approximately 80 nucleotides in length. Their secondary structure includes four short double-helical elements and three loops (D, anti-codon, and T loops).
Source: RNAcentral